This 253-nucleotide ribosomal RNA is filed under the name uncultured bacterium. RNAcentral's name for it is "partial 16S ribosomal RNA". It matches the Rfam family "Bacterial small subunit ribosomal RNA", at positions 524 to 777 of the family's 1533-position model. The record is from RNAcentral.
UACGUAGGGUGCGAGCGUUGUCCGGAAUUAUUGGGCGUAAAGAGCUUGUAGGCGGUUUGUCGCGUCUGCCGUGAAAAUUCGAGGCUCAACCUCGAACUUGCGGUGGGUACGGGCAGGCUAGAGUGCGGUAGAGGGUAGUGGAAUUCCCGGUGUAGCGGUGAAAUGCGUAGAGAUCGGGAGGAACACCAGUGGCGAAGGCGGCUACCUGGACCAGCACUGACACUGAGGCACGAAAGCGUGGGAGCAAACAGGG